Non-coding RNA from Pimephales promelas (fathead minnow), 1811 nucleotides. The record is from RefSeq and is a predicted model, not a curated record. NCBI's taxonomy places the organism in Eukaryota, Metazoa, Chordata, Actinopteri, Cypriniformes, Leuciscidae.
ACUAGCUGUUGAACAAUGGCAGGAAGUUGGUCUGCUGUUCAGUCUCUGGCAAUUUGUGUUUGGUUCUGUGCUUUCUGUCAUGCUGUUCCAAAGUGGAGUGAUCUGCCCCGGAAUCCUCAAGCUCUGAUGUUCCAGCAAACUAACCAGCAGUUUCAGAAGCCAGUUCAACAGCAAGCUAGUCAAUGGUUUCCUCAAAAAGUUCAAAAGCCAGUUCAACAGCAAGCUAAUCAAUGGUUUCCUCAGAAAGUUCAAAAGCCAGUUCAACAGCAAGCUAGUCAACAGUUUCCUCAGCAGGUUCAACAGCAAGCUAGUCAACAGUUUUCUCAGCAGUUUCAACAGCAAGCUAGUCAACAGUUUCCUCAGCAGUUUCAACAGCAAGCUAGUCAACAGUUUCCUCAGCAGGUUCAACAGCAAGCUAGUCAACAGUUUCCUCAGCAGGUUCAACAGCAAGCAGGUCAACAGUUUCCUCAGUCAGUUCAACUGCAAGCAGGUCAACAGUUUCCUCAGUCAGUUCAACUGCAAGCAGGUCAACAGUUUCCUCAGUCAGUUCAACUGCAAGCAGGUUUCUCAGUCAGUUCAACUGCAAGCAGGUCAAGAGUUUCCUCAGUCUGUUCAACAGCAAGCAGGUCAAGAGUUUUCUCAGUCAGUUCAACAGCAAGCUAGUCAACGGUUUCCUCAGCAGUUUCACCCUAAGUACCCAGUGGUGAAGGCAGAGCCCCUUGACAAAUGUACUGUAGCUGAUUAUGAGCAGAUCCAAUGUGGACCACCUGGUAUCAGUGGUGCUGAGUGUGCUGCUAUCAACUGCUGCUUUAAUGGACAGCAGUGUUACUAUGGGAAGGCAGUGACUGUCCAGUGUAUAAGAGAUGGUCAGUUUGUGGUGGUGGUGGCUAGAGAUGUUACGCUGCCUCGAUUGAGCCUGGAUUCAGUCCGUCUCCUGGGUGGAAAUGAUCCAGCUUGCAGUCCUGUGGGAUCCACACCUUUCUUUGCUAUAUACCAGUUCCCAGUCACUGCAUGUGGCACAAGCAUGAUGGAGGACAGUGGCUAUGUGGUGUAUGAAAACAGAAUGACCUCCUCAUAUGAAGUGGGUGUCGGACCACUUGGUUCCAUCACAAGGGACAGCCAUUUUGAGCUUCUCUUCCAGUGUAGGUACUCUGGUACCUCUGUGGAAGCUCUGGUUGUGGAGGUCAACACCGUUCCUCCACCUCCACCAGUAGCUGCGCCUGGACCCCUCAGGGUGGAGCUUAGACUGGCAAAUGGUCAAUGUGUCACCAAAGGCUGUGCAGAAGGGGACGAGGCGUACACGUCCUACUACAGUGACGCAGAUUAUCCAGUUACAAAAGUCCUGCGGGAGCCUGUGUAUGUUGAGGUGCACAUUUUGGAGAGGAACGACCCCAACAUUGUCCUGAUGCUGGGACGUUGCUGGGCGACAUCAACCCCCAGUCCACUCAGUCUACCCCAAUGGGAUCUUCUGGUUGAUGGAUGCCCUUACCAGGAUGAUCGUUACCUGACCACAUUGGUUCCAGUGGCUGGAUCAUCUGGUCUUCAGUUCCCUACCCACUACAAGCGCUUUGUUGUGAAGAUGUUCACAUUUGUAGAUCCAGCAUCACUGGCUCCUCUGCAGGAAACCAUCUUCAUCCACUGUAGUACAGCGGUGUGCCAUCCCUCCUCUGGCUCCUGUGAGCAAAGCUGCACUAGGAAAAGAAGAGACGUGCACGUCAAGACCAUCUCUAGUGGGCAAACUGUGGUUUCUAGUGGAGAAGUUAACCUGGUCAAGUGAAAUUUGGUGUUUUAAUAAAAUUCAUGAAACUCAA